GGAUGCCUGAAAGUGACGACGUCAGUUGCGUCAGUUUACAGGCGUGACACAGCUGGUAUAAAAUGAGACGAGCGGCCAUGAUUCUUUCUCUGCGGCAGUCCUCGAGAAGCAUGUGAGAUGGUUACGUGCUUUUUCGUCAAAGCAUCUGAAAACUGGUCAAGUAAGAGUCCAUGACGUCCACAGAAGUGAACCUGCUUCUGAAGGCCCAACGCUGGAAUUGGUGUUUCAUUAAUUUGUAUCUGGUCCUUUAUGUAAAAAUGUUGGAACCUGUUUAACCCUUUGUUUUAAGUCCGUAGUCAUGCACCGACUAUUUUUGCCAUCCUUUUUUGGUCCAGUUUAUAGCAUAUUUAAACGUGUUUCUGUAUUUUGAGCAUUUCUAAUAAACCAUACAUCUUUA
Molecule: long non-coding RNA, 397 nt
Organism: Carassius auratus (goldfish)
Lineage: Eukaryota; Metazoa; Chordata; Actinopteri; Cypriniformes; Cyprinidae
Exons: 2
Source: RefSeq, a predicted model, not a curated record